RNAcentral lists this ribosomal RNA (715 nucleotides) under Torresitrachia allouarni. RNAcentral describes it as "partial 16S ribosomal RNA". The stretch from base 326 to 483 matches the Rfam family "Archaeal large subunit ribosomal RNA", at positions 1882 to 2091 of the family's 2987-position model. Lineage: Eukaryota; Metazoa; Mollusca; Gastropoda; Stylommatophora; Camaenidae. The record is from RNAcentral.
CACGAAUUCAUGUGAGCUAAUUUAGUUUUAAGGUGUGUAGCAUAACACAUAUAGUGCAAGGUAAAUUAGGGGUGAGAGGCCUCUCAAAAAUGAGGAUAUCUUGAAGUAAAUAAAAUAAAUUGAGUUUUAAGUUGAUUACAAAGUUAUAAGAUUUUGUAAUAAAUUUAAUCUUUAUUAAUAUAGCAUAUUGGUAUAAAAACCUGUAUAGUAAGUUACUAUCAUGUAGUUAAUGGUCUUAUUAAAUUAGUUUACGGUAAUAUAACUCUUUUAUAAUCAUAAUGUUUAUAUGAGUACUUAUAAGAUAUUAGUAGUGAACUCGGCAACAAAGCUUUCAACUGUUUAUCAAAAACAUAGCCACAUGUCUCACAUGUGGUGUGUUCUGCUCAAUGAUACUUAAAUAGCCGCAGUACCCUGACUGUGCAAAGGUAGCGUAAUCAUUUGUCUUUUAAUUGGAGUCGUGUAUGAAUGAAUGCAUGGGGGCUUACUUUACCAUUAGUAUAAUUUGAAAUUACUUAAAAGGUGAAAAUGCCUUUAUUAAAAUAAUAGACGAGAAGACCCUUGAAAUUUUUUAAAUUGUUUUGUUGGGGCAACAUAGUAGAUAAACCUACUGAAUGUACAUGAAAUUUUUUUGCUUGCAUAAAUUACUCUAGGGAUAACAGCAUAAUUCUAAAGAGUUUGUGACCUCGAUGUUGGAUUAGGGAACUAUAACUUAAAA